Molecule: transfer RNA, 68 nt
Filed under: Edwardsiella tarda
Lineage: Bacteria; Pseudomonadati; Pseudomonadota; Gammaproteobacteria; Enterobacterales; Hafniaceae
Rfam family: tRNA (bases 3-61)
About the family: Transfer RNA (tRNA) molecules are approximately 80 nucleotides in length. Their secondary structure includes four short double-helical elements and three loops (D, anti-codon, and T loops).
Source: RNAcentral
NNUAGCUCAGCUGGUUAGAGCACAUCACUCAUAAUGAUGGGGUCACAGGUUCGAAUCCCGUCGUAGCC